UAGCCGAUGUUCCACAAGAGAGGGCCAA
RNAcentral lists this small RNA (28 nucleotides) under Bombyx mori (domestic silkworm). Its description in RNAcentral is "ovarian small RNA-22370". Lineage: Eukaryota; Metazoa; Arthropoda; Insecta; Lepidoptera; Bombycidae. The record is from RNAcentral.